UGAAGUAAGUAAGGGCGUACGGUGAAUGCCUUGGUGCCAACAGGCGAAGAAGGACGCGGCAAGCUGCGAAAAGCCUCGGGAAGCUGCAAGCAAGCGAUGAUCCGGGGAUAUCCGAAUGGGGUAACCUGAUCGAGGCAAUACUCGAUCGUUCAUACCUGAAUACAUAGGGUAUGAAACGCGAAACCCGCUGAAGUGAAACAUCUCAGUAAGCGGAGGAAAAGAAAGAGAAAUCGAUUCCGUAAGUAGUGGCGAGCGAAAGCGGAUGGAGCCCAAACCGAAGGUAUUCCUUCGGGGUUGUAGGACCACGACCUAUUCGACCAUACUGGAUAGUAGAACAGCCUGGAAAGGCUGGCCGUAGAAGGUGAAAGCCCUGUAGACGAAAUCCAGAGUGGGAAUUAGUGGUAUCCUGAGUAAUACAUCACACGUGGAACGAUGUAUGAAACCGCGCGGACCACCGCGCAAGGCUAAAUACUAGUUGGCGACCGAUAGUGAACAAGUACCGCGAGGGAAAGGUGAAAAGAACCGCUGUGAGCGGAGUGAAAUAGAACCUGAAACCGUAUGUCUACAAAGUGUCAGAGCAGAGCAAUCUGCGAUGGCGUGCCUUUUGUUUAAUGAGUCUGCGAGUCAGUGUUUGUGGCAAGACUAAGGGCUUCCGGCCCGGAGUCGCAGCGAAAGCAAGUCCGAACAGGGCGCAAUAAGUCGCAGGUACUGGACCCGAAGCGGAGGUGACCUACCCUUGGCCAGGUUGAAGCAUGGGUAAAACCAUGUGGAGGACCGAACAGGUGAACGUUGAAAAGUUCUCUGAUGAGCUGAGGGUAGGAGUGAAAGGCUAAUCAAACCCCGUGAUAGCUGGUUCUCUUCGAAAUGCAUUUAGGUGCAGCGUCACGUGCUGAUGCGCGGGGGUAGAGCACUGACAAGGCUAGGGGGCACACCCGCUUACCAAACCUUAUCAAACUCCGAAUACCGUGCAAUGGAACGUGGCAGUGAGACAGUGGGGGAUAAGCUUCAUUGUCGAGAGGGAAACAACCCAGACCAGCAGCUAAGGUGCCUAAAUAACGCUCAGUGGAAAGGAUGUGGGAUUACACAGACAGUGAGGAUGUUGGCUUAGAAGCAGCCACCAUUUAAAAAAUGCGUAAUAGCUUACUCAUCGAGUGAUCCUGCGCCGAAAAUGAUUGGCGAUCAAGCGUUAUACCGAAGCUCUGGACUUUGCCGCAAGGCAGAGUGGUAGAAGAGCGUUGCAUGCGCGUCGAAGGGUGAUGGCGACUGACCCUGGAGCACAUGCAAGUGAGUAUGCAGACAUGAGUAACGUUAAGCCGGGUGAAAUCCCCGGCCGCCGUAAACCCGAGGUUUCCAGGGCAACGUGUUUCGUCCCUGGGUUAGCCGGGACCUAAGCCGAGGCCGAGAGGCGUAGGCGAUGGACAUCAGGUUAAUAAUCCUGAGCUCGCGACCCUUAAACUGGGGGGACGCAUGAGAAAAGAUGACUAGGUUAUUGAAUUCCGAGUUGAGUCUACGGACUCAGCGCAUCAUUGGAUCGAGUGCCAAGAAAAGCCCCAGCGUAUGCUAAGCGACCCGUACCGCAAACCGACACAGGUGGGUGGGUAGAAUAUACCAAGGCGUAAGAGUGAAACCUGGUUAAGGAACUCGGCAAAUUAGCCCCGUAACUUCGGAAGAAGGGGUGCCUGCAGCGAUGCAGGCCGCAGAGAAAUGGCCCAACCGACUGUUUAUCAAAAACACAGCACUCUGCAAAGACGCAAGUCGAAGUAUAGGGUGUGACACGUGACCAAUGCCGAAAGAUUAAGGCAAGGGGUUAGCCGCAAGGCGAAGCUCUGAACCCAAGUCCCGGUGAAUGUCGGCCGUAACUAUAACGGUCCUAAGGUAGCGAAAUUCCUUGUCGGGUAAGUUCCGACCUGCACGAAUCGUGAAACGAGUUGGGCACUGUCUCAACCAGGCGCUCAGUGAAAUUGUAGUGGCGGUGAAGAUGCCGCCUACCCGCAGAAGGACGGAAAGACCCUAUAGACCUUAACUGUAAGCUGUCAUUGUUUCUUCGGUUUUAAUGCUCAGAGUAAGUGGGAGACGCUGAAGACGCCCUUUAGGGGGCGUCCGAGUCAUCAAUGAGACACCACCCUUUGAAACUGGAGGAUCUAACCCUGAGCCGUGAAUCCGGCCAGAGGACCGUGUCAGCCGGUCAGUUUUACUGGGGCGGUAUCCUCCCAAAGAGUAACGGAGGAGCGCGAAGGUGGGCUCAGCCCGGUUGGCAACCGGGUGUCGAGUGCAUGGGCAUAAGCCCGCCUAACUGUGAGACCAACAAGUCGAGCAGAUGCGAAAGCAGGCCCAAGUGAUCCGGCGGUAGAAAGUGGAAUUGCCGUCGCUCAACGGAUAAAAGGUACCUUAGGGAUAACAGGCUGAUCACGCCCAAGAGUUCAUAUCGACGGCGUGGUUUGGCACCUCGAUGUCGGCUCGUCGCAUCCUGGGGCUGUAUUCGGUCCCAAGGGUUUGGCUGUUCGCCAAUUAAAGCGGCACGCGAGCUGGGUU
Molecule: ribosomal RNA, 2532 nt
Filed under: human gut metagenome
Description: bacterial LSU rRNA
Rfam family: Bacterial large subunit ribosomal RNA
Source: RNAcentral